Molecule: long non-coding RNA, 1137 nt
Filed under: Junco hyemalis (dark-eyed junco)
Lineage: Eukaryota; Metazoa; Chordata; Aves; Passeriformes; Passerellidae
Description: lncRNA (ENSJHYG00000011647.1)
Source: RNAcentral
AGAAAUGUGCUCCCUUCCCUUCCCUUCCCUUCCCUUCCUAAAGCUGUGUCCCUCCUCAUUCCCACAAUCACCAAAGAUGUCCCAGCUCUGGCUGGGGUCCUCUGUGGAGCAGUUUGUGUUGAAGUAUUUGGAGAAACUGCUGUGCUGUGAACAUGGAUGUUCCAAAUCCCACCAGGUGCUUCACCAUGCAGGGCCAAGGAGCUGGUCCAGGAUUCAACCAAGAGCCUUUGACCUCUGAGCCCAGGCCAUCAACAGUCAGGUAAAGCAACUUAGCUCAGGCUGUGGCAGGACAGAACACUUCCUUGGCCAUCUGUGAAGGUAAGGUAAACAAAGGGUUGAUUGAAUGCAACUGUAAAAACUCCAGCAGUGAGUUUUUGAGCAGUCAGCCUUGCUCAAGGAAGCUGCUGGCCCAGUCUGCAAAUGGAUCCUCUCAUCUGGGUCCAGUCCUGCAACUGCCAAGCCCAGUGGCCAGACUCCUUGUGGGGAGAGGGGGAAGCAGGCCAUGGCUUUGCAUUUGGUGCUUGGUUAAUGUUUGGAUGAGCUGAGUGGUGAGCUGGGUCUAGUGUAGUAAUUGUGUUUGUUAUAGAGCAAUAACCCUGCAGGGUUACCAUGAAAUUUGACACAGCUUAUAUGAGAUACAGUCUGAUGCAGAGGCAGGGCAGCAAACCCUUGGCAGAAAAACUGCCUGUUGUGCUGGGGCAAACCUUGAAUCACAAAGGUGAUGUGACUGAACAAAGGCACUUUAUCUGCUGCUUCAGGUGUGAGGACUGGCUGCCCCUGUGCUCCACCACAGCCCGGUCCCAGGCCCUGCAGUGGCACUCAGCCUCCCUGGCCUUUCAGAGGGGAAGCUGUUUGCUGAGGGGAACAGGGUUAUGCACUGGUGUGACUCGACAGCAGAUGACAGAGGUUAGGACAAGGCCUGGGGUGGCUGAGAUGCUGUUGCCAUGGAAAUCACCCAGUGUCUGGAAUAGCAAGAAGGAGAGCAACUCAAAAAGUAAUGAUCUGUCACAUCGAUUAAGGGGGAGUUGGAGGGAUUGUGUUUGGGGAAAACCUCGUGCUUCAAGUAAUGCAAAUCCAUAUGCCACAUCUCCCUGUUUGCCUCUCCCUGAAGGGCUCUGUCAACAGGAAACAAUCUGA